RNAcentral lists this ribosomal RNA (253 nucleotides) under uncultured bacterium. RNAcentral describes it as "partial 16S ribosomal RNA". It matches the Rfam family "Bacterial small subunit ribosomal RNA", at positions 524 to 776 of the family's 1533-position model. The record is from RNAcentral.
UACGUAGGGCGCGAGCGUUGUCCGGAAUUAUUGGGCGUAAAGAGCUCGUAGGCGGCUUGUUGCGUCUGCUGUGAAAUCCCGGGGCUUAACCCCGGGCGUGCAGUGGAUACGGGCAGGCUGGAGGCAGGCAGGGGAGAAUGGAAUUCCCGGUGUAGCGGUGAAAUGCGCAGAUAUCAGGAGGAACACCGGUGGCGAAGGCGGGUCUCUGGGCCGAUACUGACGCUGAGGAGCGAAAGCGUGGGGAGCGAACAGG